RNAcentral lists this ribosomal RNA (253 nucleotides) under uncultured bacterium. RNAcentral's name for it is "partial 16S ribosomal RNA". It matches the Rfam family "Bacterial small subunit ribosomal RNA", at positions 524 to 776 of the family's 1533-position model. The record is from RNAcentral.
UACAGAGGUCUCAAGCGUUGUUCGGAUUCAUUGGGCGUAAAGGGUGCGUAGGCGGCGCGGUAAGUCGGGUGUGAAAUCUCGGAGCUUAACUCGGAAACUGCAUUCGAUACUGCCGUGCUUGAGGACUGGAGAGGAGACUGGAAUUUACGGUGUAGCGGUGAAAUGCGUAGAUAUCGUAAGGAAGACCAGUGGCGAAGGCGGGUCUCUGGACAGUUCCUGACGCUGAGGCACGAAGGUCAGGGGAGCAAACGGG